Caenorhabditis elegans is the source of this 183-nucleotide non-coding RNA. Lineage: Eukaryota; Metazoa; Nematoda; Chromadorea; Rhabditida; Rhabditidae. The record is from Ensembl.
UUAACACAAUCUACAUAAUCGCAAGAAUAGGCGAAUCUGAGAAAGAUGCAUGUGAAGAGCUUAUGUGUUAGUAGCGGCACGGACCCUCUUAAAAUCAUAUUUACAUAUGAUUUGGAGUGGGAAAAUAUAGAAAAGAGACACAAGAAAGUAGAGGAGGAUGUAUAGUGAUGAUUAUGAUGAUGA